AUGAUGAAACUAGGGUUACCCACUAUUGCUGCAAUCAAUGGCCAUGGAUCGGCAGCUUCUGAUGCUUUGCGGCGUGGUUUGGUUGAUGACUCUCAUUUCGUUGUUCUUUCAAGCAGCAUAAGCCAAUUGGUUAUUGGAUUUGAUUGUGAAGGUGUUGAUCUUUGUAUGAUGCAGCUAGCAUUUCAGCAUGCUGUUUAUCUCGUAGAUGCUAUUCGCGGUGGGCAGAUGCUUUUGCAAGGCUGCACUAGAGUCACAAAAGUUGUUCACGAUUGGAAAAGAGAUAAUAAAGCGAGGCUCUUUAUUUUCAAUUUGGAAUGUUGUUGGCACUCAGAUUGCCUAUACCUUGAUAGAGGAGCAAGAGAUGACUACAUAUCUUUUGUUAGCCUCCUUGCUGAUCCACGUUACUGUGGCAUAUCGUAUGUUGAGAAGGAAGAAGUUAUAUCGGAAUUGACGAUUCGCACUGCACCAGAUGAUGUUCUAUUUCUGCUUUGCAUCUAUCCUAACAUGAUGGAAAAAUUAAAUGAAUAUUCACUAUGGCGCCUUGCUGCAUUAUAUUGUCGAUUUUUCUGCAUCAAUGGUAAUGGGGUGCAUCAGAGAAGGGAAUGUUCCUGAAGAGGAAUUUUUAUCAGUUCUUAAUGUUCCUCCAGGCAAAAUGGGGUGCAUUAUUGGUAGAGGAGGAGCAUCUAUUAGAUCAGUUAAGGAAACUUGCAAUGCUGAAAUUCUGAUUGGAGGUUCCUUGCAAGAUGAAAGAGGGGCAUCAGAUAUCAGAGAGCUGAUUCUCACAAAGUGCCAAUAUUUGAGGGCCAUAAGAUCAACCUUUUCGAUUGGGCCGGGCUAUGCAUCGGGGUUUUGGCUGAAAUCUUCGAGAAGUGGGUUGCCUGACUGUACAGUUUCUUCUGAAGUAGUUGGUCCUAUAUUUGGUGCUGCAAAGAUAUAA
This is an RNA transcript of Amborella trichopoda, 937 nucleotides long. RefSeq lists it as uncharacterized. The record is from RefSeq and is a predicted model, not a curated record. Lineage: Eukaryota; Viridiplantae; Streptophyta; Magnoliopsida; Amborellales; Amborellaceae.